Molecule: long non-coding RNA, 2206 nt
Organism: Dama dama (fallow deer)
Lineage: Eukaryota; Metazoa; Chordata; Mammalia; Artiodactyla; Cervidae
Exons: 2
Source: RefSeq, a predicted model, not a curated record
CCAGCGAGAGCGAGCUUCAGCGAGCUGGUGGCGGGGCGGUGAGUGGGGAAAGCAGGUGGUCGCGGUCCGCGGAGAGAUGAGACCACCCCCACCCUCCGACACCCCAACCCAGACCAAGGGUGAGAGCUGACAAGAGAUUUUGCACACCUGAGAACAUAUUGAUACACUAGGAUAGCAGUCAAAUAGUUUUGUCUCUGGGAGACAAAGACACGCGCUGAGACCAGACAUGGAACAACAGACUGGUUCCAAAUUGGGAAAGAAGUACAUCAAGGCUGUAUAUUGUCACCCUGCUUAUUUAACUUAUGUGCAGAGUGCAUCAUGCGAAAUGCCGGGCUGGAUGAAGCACAAGCUGGAAUCAAGAUUUCUGGGACAAAUAUCAAUAACCUCAGAUACGCAGGUGAUACCACCCUUAUGGCAUAAAGUGAAGAGGAACUGAAGAGCCUCUUGAUGAAAGUGAAAGAGGAGAGUGAAAAAGCAGGCUUAAGACUCAACAUUCAAAAAACUAAGAUCAUGGCAUCUGGUCCCAUUAUUUCAUGGCAAAUAGAUGGGGAAUCAAUGGAAACAGUGACAGACUUAUUUUCUCGGGCUGCAAAAUCACUGCAGAUGGUGACUGCAGCCAUGAAAUUAAAAGAUUCUUGCUCCUUGGAAGAAAAGCUAUGACCAACCUAGACAGCAUAUUGUAAAGCAGAGACAUUACUUUGCCAACAAAGGUGCGUCUAGUCAAAGCUAUGGUUUUUCCAGUAGUCAUGUAUGGAUGUGAGAGUUGGACUGUAAAGAAAGCUGAGUGCCGAAGAAUUGAUGCUUUUGAGCUAUGGUGUUAGAGAAGACUCUUGAGAGUCCCUUGGACUGCAAGAAGAUCCAACCAGUCCAUCCUAAAGGAAAUCAGUCCUGAGUAUUCAUUGAAAGGACUGAUGUUGAAGCUGAAUCUCCAAUACUUUGGCCACCUGAUGCAAAGAACUGACUCAUUGGAAAAGACCCUGAUUCUGGGAAAGAUUGAAGGCAGGAGAAGGGGACGACUGAGGAUGAGAUAUGGUUGAAUGGCAUCAUUGACUCAAUGGACAUGAGUUUGAGCAAGCUCUGGGAGCUGGUGAUGGACAGGAAGGCCUGGCAUGCUGCAGUCAGUCCAUGGGGUUGCAAAGAAUUGGACACGACUGAGCAACUGACCUGACUGAUGGGGUUUGCUCACUCUUCACUAAGGUCAACUAUAAAUUAAUGAUAGGUCCUGGGCAAAGUAAAGACUUAACUUUUGCCCUUUAUUUUAACAAAGCAUGAAGUAACAAACUAUUAACUACCAGCAACAAAGGAGGUAAUGUAACAGGUUCAUUAGUAAGGUUUAUUCUAGUACUGUAUUACAGAAUAUUGAAGUUUGUGAAUAUCUCUGGCUCCUAAUGUCACAUACCUGGCAAUUUGCAGAAGGUGAUGAGAAAUGGAAAAAGAAUAGGAAAGUACACAGGGAUAAAUGAAUAUGGAGUAAUAACUUUUUAAGAAAAAAAGAAGACAAAACAGUAUAUCCAUUUAAAACUCAUCUUCCCCAUAAUAGCCUAGUUGCAUUAUCUACCUAAUUUAUUGUUGUUGCUGUAAACAUGUUUAGGGAAGCAUUUGGAACUGCCAGUUUGCAAGUAACAUAACAAAGUCUUCUGUACAUUUCAUUUUAGACAAAACCAUAAUAUCUAGCUUGAUUUACUGGGCCCUACUACAGGGCUAUUUUUGGCUAUGACUGGAAGUCAGAUCCAACCUGAAGAGAAUUUACAAGCUGUGAAGGCAGUCCCAAAAGCUUUGUCCAAAAAUCUUGUAUGACAGCAAUGUCUCACCCAAGAUCACACGUUUACACAGUUUAGAACUCAGAUCUCAUGACUCCAUGAAGGCUGUGUUCUCUAAGCCAGGAAUUAACUCUUUGUUGUUGUGUUUUUUUGUUUUUUUUUUGCUUACUUAGUGCACUUUGUGGGACCCCUACCAGGGAUCAAACCUGUGCCCCUCCUAACCCCCAAUGAAAGGACAGAGUCCCAACCCCUGGACUGCCAGGGUACUCCCAAUAAAUGUUUUCUAUAAAGAGCCAGGUAGUCAAUAUUUAGGGUUUGUGGGCCAUGCCAUCUCUGUAACAUUACCAAUCUUUGUAGCUUUGCCAUUGUAGUACAAAAGCAGCCAUAAUUAAUAUGUAAACAAGAGAGUGUGGUUGUUUUCCAAUAAAACUUUAUGGACACUAAAA